RNAcentral lists this ribosomal RNA (254 nucleotides) under uncultured bacterium. Its description in RNAcentral is "partial 16S ribosomal RNA". It matches the Rfam family "Bacterial small subunit ribosomal RNA", at positions 524 to 776 of the family's 1533-position model. The record is from RNAcentral.
CACGUAGGGUGCGAGCGUUGUCCGGAAUUAUUGGGCGUAAAGAGCUCGUAGGCGGUGUGUCACGUCGGCCGUGAAAACCUGCAGCUUAACUGUGGGCGUGCGGUCGAUACGGGCAUCACUGGAGUUCGGCAGGGGAGACUGGAAUUCCUGGUGUAGCGGUGAAAUGCGCAGAUAUCAGGAGGAACACCGGUGGCGAAGGCGGGUCUCUGGGCCGAAACUGACGCUGAGGAGCGAAAGCGUGGGGAGCAAACAGG